Molecule: non-coding RNA, 1098 nt
Organism: Phyllostomus discolor (pale spear-nosed bat)
Lineage: Eukaryota; Metazoa; Chordata; Mammalia; Chiroptera; Phyllostomidae
Source: the annotation of a RefSeq genome assembly
ACAAGCCGAUAUGUCUUCUCGUUUCUAAAGUCAUGUCUCUGUGGCAUGGUAUUUCACAGGGAACAGCAGAGUUGGUGUGAGAAGCGUCCCUGCCCUAACCCAAGAGGGACACAUUUAUCCCAGGAUUUUCUUUCCAGAUUGCAAACAUUCUUACCCUAUCUUCCCAGCACACAUGGGACACAAGAAGCUUCACAAGUGCUCAUUUAUAGCAGAUCAUGAAGAGCCCCAGGGAACUGUCUGAGCACCACUUCCUCCUAGAAACCAGACCCAGCCCUGCCCUCCUGACUCUGGUCUGCUAACAGGGACCUCACUUUCAUACCUUCUCCCUGGUGAACGAGCCUGGCGUGCGGGAUGUCAGUACUGCAAGCAGUCAGAUUCUUCUCCCUCUGGGCUUUUUGCCUUGGACAGUUAAAGCUGGAGCAACCUGAAAUAUCAAUUUCUAGGGCAAGGGAUAAGAGUGCCCAUAUAUUUUGUAAGGUGUCUUCUAGCACCUUUAGCACAGACUACAUACAUUGGUACCAGCAGAAACCAAAUAAAAGUAUAGAACAUUUAAUAUACGUUGACUCAACAAUCUCUGCUAAUCGAAAGAACGACAAAUUUGAGGCAAGUAAAAAUCCUCACACUUCUACUUCAACCUUGAAAAUAAAUUUCUUAGAGAAACAAGAUGAGGCCGUGUACUUCUGUGCCUGCUGGACUGACACCCACAACGCUAGAGUUGCCGAGAUUACUGCACAAGAACUGUCUUCAGUCUGUGCCCCCACACAUCCUUCUCAACAUAGGUGACCACAGAGGCCGCACAGCUGGGCACCCAGCCUGAGCCUCCCUCCACACAGAACUUGACUAUUAUUUUGACUGCAGAGAUUACUUAUAACAUAAAUGGUAUGCCUCAGACUCAAAGUGGAAAUCAUCAAGUUCUAGGAACAAUGUCUAUGAUAUUAUAUCUAAUGUAACCAUAAUAAUAUGUUUGCAAUGUAAUGAUCAUUUUUUCUACUUUACUUUUAAUAAUUUGAGGUUAGAGAGAGAAAAUUACUUUCAAAACCUGAAAUCCCACACUGCUUCAACCCUGUCAGGCCACCCUGAAGAUGUUCAGGUGUUUAU